UGGGGAAUAUUGCACAAUGGGCGCAAGCCUGAUGCAGCCAUGCCGCGUGUAUGAAGAAGGCCUUCGGGUUGUAAAGUACUUUCAGCGGGGAGGAAGGCGAUAAGGUUAAUAACCUUGUCGAUUGACGUUACCCGCAGAAGAAGCACCGGCUAACUCCGUGCCAGCAGCCGCGGUAAUACGGAGGGUGCAAGCGUUAAUCGGAAUUACUGGGCGUAAAGCGCACGCAGGCGGUCUGUCAAGUCGGAUGUGAAAUCCCCGGGCUCAACCUGGGAACUGCAUUCGAAACUGGCAGGCUAGCGUCUUGUAGAGGGGGGUAGAAUUCCAGGUGUAGCGGUGAAAUGCGUAGAGAUCUGGAGGAAUACCGGUGGCGAAGGCGGCCCCCUGGACAAAGACUGACGCUCAGGUGCGAAAGCGUGGGGAGCAAACA
This 427-nucleotide ribosomal RNA is filed under the name uncultured bacterium. Its description in RNAcentral is "partial 16S ribosomal RNA". It matches the Rfam family "Bacterial small subunit ribosomal RNA", at positions 355 to 774 of the family's 1533-position model. The record is from RNAcentral.